RNAcentral lists this long non-coding RNA (233 nucleotides) under Elaeis guineensis (African oil palm). RNAcentral describes it as "long non-coding RNA (EGUI_LNC076531)". Lineage: Eukaryota; Viridiplantae; Streptophyta; Magnoliopsida; Arecales; Arecaceae. The record is from RNAcentral.
UUGGGCAUCUUAUCUGUUGGUGUGAGGUAUCACAUCAUCAUAUUUCAUCUCUCGAUUGAUUGAGUUAUAAAGUCAAUUAGAUUGGAGUUCAUCCUACUUUCCUGCGGUGUCUGACAUACAUGUGAAGUAGAGGAUUUGCAUAUCCAGACCUCCACAAAGGUUUAUAUCAGAUAAUUUGAGAUUUGAUCUCUAGUUCUACUAUAAUUCAGGUAAAUAUUUGAUCUAUAAAUAAG